AAAUCUUUUUUAAAUGAUCAAAUUCUUAAAUAUCUUUUUUAGUUCUAACAUCUCUUAAUAAAAUAAAACCAUUAAAAAAAAUACUUUCCUCAGCCGCAAUGUUUAACUAGAAAUUCUACAUGAGAACAAUAAUUUACAAAACUACCUGAAAUCAAAUCCAAAGCAACAUAUGUUUGUACUCAAAUGAGAUUAUAGACAUAGCAAUUUAGAAUUGAAAAUUGAAUAGCUCAUAUGGAGCUUUAUUGAAACGCAAGAAAGUAAAGUAAAGUAAAGAAAAACUUUUUAGAUUUUCACCAAGAUCUAAUUGAUUCUUGGAUUGAUUUCUUAUUGAAAGAGAAUUGGUCAAAAACGCAAUUCUCUAGGUUAGUCGCAUUGUUCUCUGUAAAUUAUUGUUAUAUAAUAAAUAGAACCAAGCAGCCAACAUAGUAGUUAACUUUACUAUGCUAGUUCAUUGAAUAUACACUUAAAAAUAAGGAAAAAUGUCAAAACAAAUCACAAAUUUUUAAAUUUGGGACGAUUUAAUCUACAACUUCACGGAAGACAAAUAAAUCGUAAAGUUUUUGUUGACUUUCUAAAUAAAUGACACAGUUUUUGUUGACUUGCCACUUGAGUCAUGUCGUUAAAUAGGUUAACAGAUUUUUUUACGAUGUUAAUGUCUCGUUUAUUUGCUCUGUUAAAACAAAACAACAUCGUUUAUUGUACGUCGUUUUGUCUGUUGAAACAAAUUAAAGCCUAAAUUCCCAAAUCGUGUUACACA
This 757-nucleotide small RNA is filed under the name Arabidopsis thaliana (thale cress). RNAcentral describes it as "ATSL028320". Lineage: Eukaryota; Viridiplantae; Streptophyta; Magnoliopsida; Brassicales; Brassicaceae. The record is from RNAcentral.